RNAcentral lists this ribosomal RNA (468 nucleotides) under uncultured bacterium. Its description in RNAcentral is "partial 16S ribosomal RNA". It matches the Rfam family "Bacterial small subunit ribosomal RNA", at positions 28 to 507 of the family's 1533-position model. The record is from RNAcentral.
GACGAACGCUGGCGGCGUGCUUAACACAUGCAAGUCGAACGGAAAGGCCCUGCUUUUGUGGGGUGCUCGAGUGGCGAACGGGUGAGUAACACGUGAGUAACCUGCCCUUGACUUUGGGAUAACUUCAGGAAACUGGGGCUAAUACCGGAUAGGAGCUCCUGCUGCAUGGUGGGGGUUGGAAAGUUUCGGCGGUUGGGGAUGGACUCGCGGCUUAUCAGCUUGUUGGUGGGGUAGUGGCUUACCAAGGCUUUGACGGGUAGCCCGCCUGAGAGGGUGACCGGCCACAUUGGGGCUGAGAUACGGCCCAGACUGCUACGGGAGGCAGCAGUGGGGAAUAUUGCACAAUGGGCGGAAGCCUGAUGCAGCAACGCCGUGUGCGGGAUGACGGCCUUCGGGUUGUAAACCGCUUUCGCCUGUGACGAAGCGUGAGUGACGGUAAUGGGUAAAGAAGCACCGGCUAACUACGUG